This 253-nucleotide ribosomal RNA is filed under the name uncultured bacterium. RNAcentral describes it as "partial 16S ribosomal RNA". It matches the Rfam family "Bacterial small subunit ribosomal RNA", at positions 524 to 776 of the family's 1533-position model. The record is from RNAcentral.
UACGGAGGAUCCGAGCGUUAUCCGGAUUUAUUGGGUUUAAAGGGAGCGUAGGCGGGUUGUUAAGUCAGUUGUGAAAGUUUGCGGCUCAACCGUAAAAUUGCAGUUGAUACUGGCAUCCUUGAGUACAGUAGGGGUAGGCGGAAUUCGUGGUGUAGCGGUGAAAUGCUUAGAUAUCACGAAGAACUCCGAUUGCGAAGGCAGCCUGCUGGACUGUAACUGACGCUGAUGCUCGAAAGUGUGGGUAUCAAACAGG